CCUACGGGAGGCAGCAGUGGGGAAUAUUGCACAAUGGGGGAAACCCUGAUGCAGCGACGCCUCGUGAGUGAAGAAGCCCCUCGGCGCGUAAAGCCCUUUCAUCAGGGAAGAAAAUGACGGUACCUGAAGAAUAAGCCCCGGCUAACUACGUUCCAGCAGGCGCGGUAAUACGUAGGGUGCAAGCGUUAUCCGGAUUUACUGGGGGUAAAGGGGGCGCAUACGGCUAUGAAAGCCAGGAGUGAAAGCCCGGGGCCAAACCCCGGAACUGCUCUUGGAACUGCGUGGGUAGGGUGCAGGAGGGGCAGGCGGAAUUCAUGGUGUAGCGGUGAAAUGGGUAGAUAUCAGGAGGAACCCCGGUGGGGAAGGCGGCCUGCUGGACUGCAACUGACGUGGAGGGCGGAAAGGGGGGGGAGCAAAAAGGAUUGGAUACCCGGUAGUC
This 439-nucleotide ribosomal RNA is filed under the name uncultured bacterium. RNAcentral describes it as "partial 16S ribosomal RNA". It matches the Rfam family "Bacterial small subunit ribosomal RNA", at positions 338 to 795 of the family's 1533-position model. The record is from RNAcentral.